CCUACCUUUAUGCGUUCGCCAUUGCCAAUGCCUUUGCACUGUUCCAUAGACGACUUGCACUUGUUUUUUUGUUGCCGCUCACUGCUACUACCUCUCCCCAUGUUCCCGUAGUGGCGUCCGUUCCUGAACAAACAGACGAUUCUCCCUGCACUGGGAUCGCAAAGGCAGAUCUUUGCAAAUCCCAGGCCAUACCGGCGAAAAUGUUUCUGGCCUUGGACUGUAGAGAUCAGUGGAGAGCGGCGUAGCGGAUUCUGGGAUUCGGCGACAUCUUUUCUGGUCGUGGUCAUCGUCGUUGAGGAUUUCUUUUGGUGCGAAUUUUGGUGAGCGCUAGGCACUGUAGCAGCGUGCCUUUUGCACGCGCCUCCGUGUAGCUAGAGGAGGAGGAGGAGGAGGCCGGGGGAUAUGCUGGUGGAUUCCCUGCGCCGCGGCCGCUUGUGCCGCCCUUGUUGAGAGCUCUCGCGGCGGGCACCACGUGAGGCUGCGUCGGCGGGAGUGCGGAGCGAGACGCCCCCGUGAGCCGUGAGCGCUGCCGCCGUGACUGUUGUUAAUGUCAUCUGUCUCUACGACCCCGUUUGGGGGAGUUUGUUC
This is a long non-coding RNA of Oryza sativa Japonica Group (Japanese rice), 588 nucleotides long. RefSeq lists it as uncharacterized. The record is from RefSeq and is a predicted model, not a curated record. NCBI's taxonomy places the organism in Eukaryota, Viridiplantae, Streptophyta, Magnoliopsida, Poales, Poaceae.